This 665-nucleotide ribosomal RNA is filed under the name Arthrobacter sp. RNAcentral's name for it is "bacterial SSU rRNA". It matches the Rfam family "Bacterial small subunit ribosomal RNA", at positions 334 to 1009 of the family's 1533-position model. The record is from RNAcentral. Lineage: Bacteria; Bacillati; Actinomycetota; Actinomycetes; Micrococcales; Micrococcaceae.
AUUUUUUGGGGGAGGCAGCAGUGGGGAAUAUUGCACAAUGGGCGCAAGCCUGAUGCAGCGACGCCGCGUGAGGGAUGACGGCCUUCGGGUUGUAAACCUCUUUCAGUAGGGAAGAAGCGAAAGUGACGGUACCUGCAGAAGAAGCGCCGGCUAACUACGUGCCAGCAGCCGCGGUAAUACGUAGGGCGCAAGCGUUAUCCGGAAUUAUUGGGCGUAAAGAGCUUGUAGGCGGUUUGUCGCGUCUGCCGUGAAAGUCCGGGGCUCAACUCCGGAUCUGCGGUGGGUACGGGCAGACUAGAGUGAUGUAGGGGAGACUGGAAUUCCUGGUGUAGCGGUGAAAUGCGCAGAUAUCAGGAGGAACACCGAUGGCGAAGGCAGGUCUCUGGGCAUUAACUGACGCUGAGGAGCGAAAGCAUGGGGAGCGAACAGGAUUAGAUACCCUGGUAGUCCAUGCCGUAAACGUUGGGCACUAGGUGUGGGGGACAUUCCACGUUUUCCGCGCCGUAGCUAACGCAUUAAGUGCCCCGCCUGGGGAGUACGGCCGCAAGGCUAAAACUCAAAGGAAUUGACGGGGGCCCGCACAAGCGGCGGAGCAUGCGGAUUAGUUUGAUGCAACGCGAAGAACCUUACCAAGGCUUGACAUGAACCGGUAUACCUGGAGACCA